This is a non-coding RNA of Arachis ipaensis, 313 nucleotides long. NCBI's taxonomy places the organism in Eukaryota, Viridiplantae, Streptophyta, Magnoliopsida, Fabales, Fabaceae. The record is from RefSeq and is a predicted model, not a curated record.
UUUUGGUUGGUUGCCUCCGAGUUAGGAAAAUUCUGGUUUAGGGUUGAUUCUGAACUUUUUAGUUUAGAGGAAGACUUUGGAAGAGUUAAGGUAAAAAUGGGGCUGACUUUCACAAAGCUGUUCACCAUUAUAUGAUUGAUGAGAAGCUUCUGAAAUUGAACAAGGAUGGCCUAAGAUUGAUGAGAAGGCGGAUAUGUACAGCUUAGGUGAAAGAGGAAGAAUUUGUGAAAUUGGUGCACCACAUGAACAUUUUUGGAAUUAGUUUGGUUGUAUUUUUUACUUAUUUUGGUUUUAUUUCUUGAUUCAGUUUGGA